This 207-nucleotide unclassified non-coding RNA is filed under the name uncultured Trechisporales. RNAcentral describes it as "sequence contains ITS2". Lineage: Eukaryota; Fungi; Basidiomycota; Agaricomycetes; Trechisporales. The record is from RNAcentral.
AGUCAUCAACUGCACCCGUUUUGUGCGCGGGGGUCAGUUGGAUCUGGUGGUGUGCUGCCGUGAGGCUGCUCCCCUCAAAUGCAUCGGUUGGGCCUGUGGGUCAAACUCGACUGGGCGUUGUACCAUCCUCGCUCUACUUGAGAUGUACCCCCUUCUGUGUCCUCCCAAGACUGGCCUCUGGAGUGGCAGUCAAACUUAUACUUUGAA